AUAUAAAAGGAGCAUGCUGUCAGGGCUCUGUGUGUCAAAAGGUGAUUUCAGGAAAGAUAUAUUAUCCCUAAUGAGGGAAGAUGCAUUUCUGGCCUUCAGAAGACAGAACAAUGGAAAGGAAAUGCCUGGCCAGGAAGAGUCUCCUGGCACUUGGCACCUGUGUCAGAGAACUGGGCCACUUACCUUCAGUGCCUCUUGGCAGAAAGCAAGGUAUUUCCUAAUGGAGACUGAUGAUGCCGGAACUCAGAGAGAUAAUGAACUGAAACAGGAUUCCUCUCUGAAUUGAAAGUCAGGGCUGGUGAUAAUGAAUGCAGUUGUCUCUAUUGAGCCUGGAAGCUCCACUCUGCAUGGAACGUUGUGAAAUGAGCCCUUGCGUGUAGAACAACAGAUUGUGAAGAGAGAAAUCUAUGUUUAAAUCUAUGUUUAAAUUGCUGUUAAACUGAGCUAAGCAAAGUUGAGCCAUACCCUUCCAGCUCAAAAGAUUAAUCCUACAAGUUAGGUGCUCAGCAAUCUCUAAGAGGCUUGAAAACUUCUCUCAAGUCUUCCAGGCAUCAGAAAGAAAACAGGCACAAAAUUCCUGUGGAGGAGCUUAAGCAUCUCAAGGGCAACUCACAACUCUUUCUCUGAAUGGAGGGACAUCAAGUCAGAAGCUUGUGAUAUUGUGAGGUGAACAAAAGACAGAACCCUCAGGUGCAAGUACUUCAAAAAUCUAGAGAGAUGUUUUCCGGGGCUGAAGAGUAUUAGUAAAAUAUCCUAGACUUGGGGCAUGUUACAGAAGGAAUGUUUAUCUUUUAAUAAGAUCAGAUAACAAGUCUACGGAUCCUGGACUCCCACUGUAACUCCCGACAUCGCUAGCAAUUCUUCUGUGCUGAAUAGAAAAAGUUGGAUCUGGACUGGAGAGAUUUGCUCUUGAGCUUUUGUCUGGGACAAUGGAGAGCAAAGAUGAAUAAGACAGACUCCUGCCUUCAGGUGUUGAGCAGAGGAAAAGAAGAUCCAUAAAGCACUAGCGAUGAUCAUUAUGGAGAGGGCUGUACCAGGGAUAGUGCAGGAAAAUGGUAAGGCUGGAGCAGAACCACUGGCCUGGAAGAUGAAGAAAGUGGAGCUCAGAAUGAUUAAAUAAAUUUCCAAGGUCACAACUAGUUAUGGGUAAGCUAUGAUUUGAACCUAGGUGUGUCUG
Talpa occidentalis (Iberian mole) is the source of this 1177-nucleotide long non-coding RNA. RefSeq lists it as uncharacterized. Lineage: Eukaryota; Metazoa; Chordata; Mammalia; Eulipotyphla; Talpidae. The record is from RefSeq and is a predicted model, not a curated record. The transcript has 3 exons.